AUCUUGCACAAUGGGCGACAGCCUGAUGCAGCAAUGCCGCGUGAGGGAAGACGGCCUUCGGGUUGUAAACCUCUUUCAGUUGGGAUGAAGGUUGGACGGUGAAUAGCAGCGCCAACUGACCGUACCUUCAGAAGAAGCUCCGGCUAACUACGUGCCAGCAGCCGCGGUAAUACGUAGGGGGCGAGCGUUGUCCGGAAUCAUUGGGCGUAAAGCGCGUGUAGGCGGUUUCGUAAGUCUGCUGUGAAAGUCGGAGGCUCAACCUUCGAAAGCCAGUGGAUACGGCGAGACUUGAGUACGGAAGAGGAGAGUGGAAUUCCUGGUGUAGCGGUGGAAUGCGCAGAUAUCAGGAGGAACACCAACGGCGAAGGCAGCCCUCUGGGACGUUACUGACGCUGAGACGCGAAAGCGUGGGGAGCAAAC
This 420-nucleotide ribosomal RNA is filed under the name uncultured bacterium. RNAcentral's name for it is "bacterial SSU rRNA". It matches the Rfam family "Bacterial small subunit ribosomal RNA", at positions 361 to 773 of the family's 1533-position model. The record is from RNAcentral.